Danio rerio (zebrafish) is the source of this 883-nucleotide non-coding RNA. Lineage: Eukaryota; Metazoa; Chordata; Actinopteri; Cypriniformes; Danionidae. The record is from RefSeq and is a predicted model, not a curated record.
UCGACAGUUAUAAAUUCUGAUUUGAAUGAAUAGGUAACAAUAUUUUUUCGGUUAAUUCGGUUAAGUCUUAUUAUUCUUGUUUAACAAAGGUUCGUGAGGUCAUUUUGCAGCACAUCACAGAGACAAAAGAUGUCAAUGGCACACUUUUAUGAACAUGUGAAUAGGCAUGUUAUAGUUGGGUGCUUAAAGUCCGUUAAAAACUGUAAACUGCUGAUACAUUUUCAACAUACUUGAGCUUUUCAGACUUUACUAUUUGCUUCACAAACGGCAGAAAUGGUUUAUUGUUAUUAGCUAUCAUCAUCAUCAAACAUUUUCCACAAUGGUAGGUUAACAGUGUUUAGUAACUUACAACUAUCUGAUCCAAAAGGUUUCUUAUUUUAAAGAAAUAUGACUGAUUGACUUAAUCUGCUUUCCUAUUGGUUUCUUAAACUGGUUUGUCCAUAGUGUCACAAAGUGAUUAAAACAUUUACUGUUAUUGGCUUUCAUCUGACUCAAAGUAAAUCAAAAGCAUCUGUAUUCAUCCAGUAAUGUCUAGGUUUUAAAUAGAAUUUUGGUCUUGUGCUAAUUGGGUAUACUAUAUUUCAGGCUUUUUCUGAAUAGUCAUUAUUAAUGUUUAUAUUGAUUUUAGUGAAGAUAAACAUUUGUAUAAAAUGUUGUAUGUUUGUUUGUUUGACAGUCCACAACAAGAUCCUUGAGCAAGAUCAAACACGCUUGGCACAGAAGAGAAACAUCCAAAAGCCACUGUGAUAUCUGACUGGCAUACAGAUGAGGACGAUGAUUGCCCGUCAUACAGCUAAAGAAACAAACAGGCACAACUAUACUGACAGUGAUGAAGAAAAAUUAUUUAAAAAAAGGAGGCUCGGGAAAAAAAAAAAAAAAAAAG